GUGUUCGCUGCCCUCACGGGUAGCAAACCUCACCCUUGUGUAUUAUAUCUUUGUUGCUUUGGCACGCCGCCUUCGGGUACCGGCUUCGGCUGGCUCGCGCGUGUCAGAGAACCUAAAACUCUGAAUGUUAGUGUCGUCUGAGUACUAUCUAAUAGUUAAAACUUUCAACAACGGAUCUCUUGGUUCU
This 187-nucleotide unclassified non-coding RNA is filed under the name rhizosphere metagenome. RNAcentral describes it as "partial ribosomal RNA internal transcribed spacer region". The record is from RNAcentral.